GAACAGACACCACAAGCAAGCGCCAGGAAGGGAGAACCAACUGCAGAAGCGGACCCGUGAGAACAGAAAGCGGAAGUGUCAGAAAUACCAUGUGAACCAAAGGACUCUCCAGGAAACAAAAGGCAGACAGAGACCUUCAAAACUAAACAGACUGAAGAAGAAAGAACAUCCAAAAGUAAAAAACAUAUGCAAAGAAAAUUGAGCCAACAAAUAGUGAGCAAUACAUACAUGAGGACUGGACGGAGAAGGCAUCAGGAAUGAGAGGCUCCUUGUCAUCGAUGUCAAUGAGCACAUCUUCCCCAGGGCUGAGUAAGCUCACGUCAUCUGCAGGGAGAGCAAGUCCACACCUAUGAGGGACUCAGCGGGGAGAGCAAGUCCACACCUAUGAGGGACUCAGCGGGGGACUGUCACCAGACCCCACAGUCUCACCUCCCCUCACACUGACAGAGGAUCCAGGAAAACAUGGGGAGUGACCCAGGAAGAAAAACUGCAGUCAUCCCAGAAGCCAACAGUCUACCCUCAGAUGGAUUGUGUCUCGACUUGAAGAUCAGAGAGGAUGGACAUCACACGUGUCAGUAAGAGGUCUCGCUUCAGUUCCUACUGAGUUCAGCAUGUAGACAGCCCUGCCACCCUUGGCCUGUGCCCUCGCUGGGCCUCCCAGGCCUGGAUAGUGGCCAGCCUUACCUUCUCUCUCUGGAUAAGCUCGAACGCUGCCAGCAGCUCACCAGCGGGCUGGCUGCCCCGGGUCAGCGGGAACCAGGCCAGGCGGGGCAUCCGUUCCAGGCUUGGCUGACAAAUACAGCGACCCAUGAACUCAUCAGCACCCUAGAAUGGUGUAGAAAAAGACCCUUGAGAGACUAAGCCUACAUGCUACCUCCUGGGCUGGAGAGGGCCCCAGAAGUCAGGGCAGCCUCUUAUGUGGAAUGGCAAGCACUGCCCCUCUUGGCGGGAACUGUGGGGACAAGAUGUGAGCAGCCUCCAGCUAUAGCACUAGGAUGGGAUUCCUGCAAGAGCUGAGAAGUCCUUCUUUAUGUCCAACUAGUAUUCCAUGCUUUUGCUUAAUCCAUCUCUGAGGUCAUCAGAGUCCACUUCCUUAACAGCCUCGUUUGACAUGUCAGGGGCUCUCACAUUGCUUAACUGUGUUUCACCCCUAACUUCUCCAUCUUUUCAGAUUUAAAAAAAAAAAAAAACCUGUGAUCUUGCUUACCAAAGUGAAUCUUACUAAAAUGAUGUCUUUACCUCC
This is a long non-coding RNA of Mastomys coucha (southern multimammate mouse), 1243 nucleotides long. RefSeq lists it as uncharacterized. The record is from RefSeq and is a predicted model, not a curated record. The transcript has 4 exons. NCBI's taxonomy places the organism in Eukaryota, Metazoa, Chordata, Mammalia, Rodentia, Muridae.